GACAUGAACAUCUUGGAUGACAUGGGGGUGAGUAAAUUAUCAGGAAAUUUUAAUUUGAAAGUGAUCCUUUAAUCCUUUAAAUAAAUUUUGUGAACAAGUGGUUUAAUACAAACAAAACGUCUAGAAAGAAAACAGGGGCCUGUUUCAUAAAACAAGUUUACCAAAUAUGCUAUGCUUUCAGUUAGUCUGAUUGUUUUGAACCAAAUCAACUGACAAUAAAUCAGACUUACUGAAAUAAACCUGGAUUAUUUGGUAAACUUUUAUGUAUUGUGAAACAGGUCCCAGAUCACUUUUAAAAUGCAUGUUUAUAAACUUAAACAAGAGUCUUUUUGGAAAGGCGAUAUUAACGGACGCCUAAAGGUCCUACUCGGGAUAUAUAAACCGCCACGCUGCCAGCUGUAGAGUCCUCAGUCGGCUUUGCUUUGGAAGGAGUUAGUGCGGUAUGUACUGAGACUGAAUAAAUCAGGACUUCUCUCUGCUGUGUUCAGCGUGGAACCUGGUGAGACUUAACAUCGUGGCCUGUGGACGAGCUUACGCCUUUUUCCAAAUGCUGUUUAAUUAAGCUUUUUUUUUUUUUUUUUUUUUUUUUUUUUUUUUUUUUUUUUUUCUCGGAAGUGCAAAUGCAUAAUGUUUGUAUAAAUGUUUAUAGCUGACCCUUUUUCUUCAAAUGUACUGUUUCACGUAUUUGACAACCAUUAAAUGAGACUAAGCCCCAUCAAGCUUGUGCUUUUUUUUUUUUUUUUUUUUUUUUUUCUCCAUUUUGCAUAUGUAUGCAGUUUGCUUUUGACGUGCUCAAAGUGGAUAGUUCACCCAAAAAUGUUUUACUCGAGUUGUUUCAAGCCUCCACCCAAUGCUAUAGAAGUCAAUGGGGCCCAUCCACUGUUUGGUUACUGGCAUUCUACAAAAAUAACAUCUGCUUUCAGCAGAAGUAGUACAGUACAGGUUCGAAACGGUUUGAGGUUGAGUAAGUGAGGAGCAUUUUCAUUUUGGGGUCUAUCCCUAUACCAUGGUUCCCAUAGUCCUAAAUAAAAUCACUUAAAAUGGUUUCUUGGUCUGGGGAAAGUUAAGGUAAUUAAGGGAACUGACAAGCAAUUAGGUAUUCUGGUCUUUAAUUGUUCUAAAUCUUAGAUUCUCUAGCCAAAGUCUCUAAUGGGGUGGUAAAAGUGUGAGAACUGGAAGACCUGGCUGCAAUUCAAACAGCCUAUUUCAAACAAGUAUUUGUAUAGCACUUGUCGCAAUGCAAUAUUGAAUAUCUUCAAUAAAAAAAAAGAGCAGGAAGACCACCAGUGAGCAUGUAAUUGGGGUGAUUAGCAAGGGAAAAGUAUCAAUGUUUAGGUGAGGAAAUGAGGAACCCAUCUUUCUGGCAGUCACAGACUCUAAAGAUUGUAAUGGGAAUAUGUGAAAAUCUUGCUGCCAUUCAGAAGAUGCAUAAAAUAUGUACAUAUUUCUGAGAAAAAAUAAUUUAGGCCGAUAAUUCUGUUUAAAUGUUUACAACCCAUUUAAUUUAGUGUUGCUGCCUUGAACAUUUGUGUCUUUUUGUAAUCAUGGUGUACGAGUCUCGCGAGUACGAGUUGUUAGUCCUCCAAAUCAUAUUCCUUUUGAGAAAAUGUGCAGGAGAUGCUGGAAGGCCAAAGAAUGUGAUUUUUUUUUUUUAAUUUUUUUUUUUAGCUUCACUACUCAGGACAAAGCAAGCACAACUAUCACAAAACUUAGUCAUUGAUCAGAGAAAGCCAUAUACUGCAAUAAGAACUGGCUAGUUUGUGUUCAUUCUGCUGUUAUUUUGGCUUGUGGACCAACUGUAAACCUCUAUGUUAAAGUUUAUUCAGGGCAGUACUAAAUGUAUUUAUGAUCCCUUUUAUUUUUUUCCAAUAUUACACAUCUUGCAGACUCUGCAAGGGAUGUAAAUUUAUAAGAACUAGGCUAUAUAAUGGUUAAAAUAUCUAAAUUAAACAAUAUAGUAAAAAACAAAGACACUCAAAAGUAAUUCCUGCAUCAUUUAUUAUAAUUCUAAUAGCCUUUAUUCAUUUCUUAAACAUUUGUAUUUCAUAUGUGUAUAUAUGUAUAAUCGCAUACACAUAUAUAUUUGUAAAUAACCUCUUAUCUGUUCAUAGUUAAUUUUCUUCAAUUUAAAAGAAAAAAAGAUGCUUUCUGCACACCCUGGACAGCUACUGCAUCAAUUGUUCCUGUGUGUGAUCUUUGACCUCUUCAUGGGUCACAUUGUCCAGACCCUUUAAUGGCUAUGUGAUCUUCAAUGUGCAUGGAUCCUCAGCAUGAUCAUGGAUAAUUCUGCAGUGUGAAAAGCUGUCUGCAUACUGUUCUGUUGUUGUUAGAAGUUGUAAUAUUUAAACUGUCCGGGAAGAGAGAACCGUAUGACUUUUACUCCACCUAGUGGACAAUACAGGAAAGUGAGAAUUACCAGUCAUCGGGGUACAACACCAGCUGUUAUUGAAGCAAAUCAGUUUGAUGAAUUUGAUUGUGAGAUGAGACAACAGAGAACACAGGAUGUGUAGAAAGCAUGAUUCGAUUACACAUUAAACUCAUGUUAAACAUUUGGAAGACAGAGAUUCUUUAAAACUUGGAAUCCUUUUUUUCCAUAUCAGAAUAAUUUCUUUCAUUGUCCUUACUGUUAUCAACAUCACUAUACUUACCAGUCUUAAACAUCAAAAAUACACUAAGUUCUUCAAUCUUUUUAUCCAGUGUUGGUGAUUAUGGUAAACCGAGAGCUGUGAUGAAUGAUGCAUGAAUCCACACUCGUUCUGAGAAGACGAACAGAUGCAAGAUGGGCAGAGGGAGAUGGAGGGGUUGAAAUCUUUACUGAUGGUCCUGAAAGAGACACAGACAGGAAGGUAACAUAAAGGUGACAUAUGGUUUGGACUCAAGGUGACAGCAGAUGAAAAGAAGAGAAAACUCAUGAAAGGAAAUGUAAUGCGAGGAUGAGGAGCCCUUUUAAUUGAUUGAGCAACUAUUUGUGAUGUGGGAGAUGAAGGCUGGAGGUCACUAGAUUUACUUAUUAGUUUGUGUGAGGGAAUAUGAAUGUAAAGGGUAUAUAUACUGCCGCAGACAAUAAACUCCUUGAUAGUCCUUGCAUACAAAGUGAUGUCACAUUAAUUUUUUUAAUGGAAAGGAAAAGCAGGAGGGUGAGGGACAUUGUAAGAUGUGAAAGUCUCGUCUCUAAUUUAAGUCCUAGAGGUACCAAAGAUCUGAACACAUUCCAUGUGGUCACAAACUAAAAAAAAAAAAAGAUG
Molecule: long non-coding RNA, 3245 nt
Organism: Megalobrama amblycephala (Wuchang bream)
Lineage: Eukaryota; Metazoa; Chordata; Actinopteri; Cypriniformes; Xenocyprididae
Exons: 3
Source: RefSeq, a predicted model, not a curated record